Long non-coding RNA from Daphnia carinata, 1538 nucleotides. RefSeq lists it as uncharacterized. The transcript is spliced from 7 exons. NCBI's taxonomy places the organism in Eukaryota, Metazoa, Arthropoda, Branchiopoda, Diplostraca, Daphniidae. The record is from RefSeq and is a predicted model, not a curated record.
AAAUCGCUUGUUGGGAUGUCGAAACACUGUGCUAUUGAAUGGAACUUAGAAAUAAACUUCGUAGACGCCAUCCUCACUUCCAUUGACGUGGCAGUGAUUACACCUGCGUCUUCAGAAUAGACGCUUGAAGUCAAAUCGCUUCCCAGUUGAGAAGAUGGUUACGGAUUGCCUCAUAUUUCAGUUUGGCUCCAGGUGACUUCUGACUUGCUCGUGAACCAACUGUCCCAAAUAGAUGGAUCGGAUACCGUCUGCUGAUAUCAAUUUGUACGAAUGAACAUGGAAACUUCUUUGAGUGAAGUUCGUACCAUAAGAAAUUAAAAUGUUUGUCGUACGCAUUUUGUUGAACGGUCAUAAUUGUCACGGUUCACCAUUUCAUCUGAAAAUCACGAAAAAUUCUCGUCAUUGGGUUAUAGGACGUAUUCAUUCGUAGCAAGUUGUACAGGAAAGAUGACCGAAAUCAGGGGCUACUGUCAGCUGAAAACAAUUGUGGACAUAUGCAUGCUUAAAAGCACUAGAUUGUGUGUCAGUCCCCUGGAAGUGGAAAAAUUCUAACUUGGGACCAAGUGUUUGUCCCAAACUCACCUUGUGGGAAUUACAUGGGGAACCAGAGUAAAGGGAAGACGCUGGCUACCGACUGAUUAUGUAAGUACCGUGUGGGCCAACACCUUCGAUGUCGAACAUAAAGAAUUUCUUUAGAAGUCAAUCACUGAAAAGGCUUCGUCGGCCUUCCGUCGAAAUCCUUUCCAGCCAAAGAAUGAGUGUCUUCUGUUGGUGAAAGCUUUAGAGAUUGGCACAUCCGCUUCAGCCAGUACUGAUCGGAAUCACAAUGACCGUAACUCAAAAAUGACUUACUUCGUGAAUUUUUUUCGUCCUAUACCACUGAAAACGAUCGGGAUUCAGAAGAGCCAGAAGCAUGUCAUUAAGGUUGCAACCGAUCUUGGCAAUCGAGAUCCAUUAAGAGGAUUAACUGCUUCCGUUGAUACAUUUUUAGUGAACAUUCCAAUGGCCAAGGUUCGCAGAAUUCUGGACUCCACGAUCACUUCCAAGAUGUUCAAGGUCCAAAGAAGACUUAUUAGAAGCGAAUCACGUUUCACUUAAUCCAAAAAAGUGACGCAGAAACUGCUCAGAGAAUGCAAAAUCCAAAAUUGUCCAAUGCAUGUGUUACUUUUACCUGAUGCCACACUGAGCUAAGAAUUUUUACGGCAUUCGGCACCCCAAACGAAGCGGCCACCUGUUGGUGCGAUAAUCAUUACAUGUGGACAUGUUAUUUAUGUUUUGUCGAAUUUCAACCACUUCUCUGAGAAUUUCUGAAGAUAAGCAAACGAAGCAAAGCAUAUUACAGGAGAGACGAUCAAAAAUCAACCCAAUGAUAAAACAAGGAGAACAUAGUCUUGACGAGCAAGUUUAUUGCAUCUGCCAUAGCACAGAUGCCAGCAGAUUUGGGAUGCAAGAAUUUAAAAAUCUGUUAAUUACUUAAUAAAAAAUUUCAUGCUUUCAUCCCUCGCCGACUUGCAUUUUUGGUUGUAUAUUAAGGCAAA